AUAAAUCGUUGAAAAGUACCCUCGACUAUCUUUCGUCUCCAUCAUCAGACUUUAAUGGCACUUGUAACUCAUAUAGGUGCAAAGUUCUAAUCAGUAGAAACGAAUUAAGUUCAAACAGCAGGUAAUUUCUAUAAGUCGUUGAAGAGUACCCUCGACUAUCUUUCGUCUCCAUCAUCAGACUGAAAUGGCACUUAUAACUCAUAUAUAUGCAAAGUUCUUAUCAAUAGAAACGAAUUAAGUUCAAACAGCAGGUAAUUGCUAUAAAUCGUUAAAGAGUUCCCUCGACUAACUUUUGUCUCCAUCAUCAGACUGUAAUGGCACUUAUAACUCAUACGGGUGCAAAGUUCUCAUCAAUAGAAACGAAUUAAGUUCAAAAAGAAGGUAAUUGCUAUAAAUUGUUGAAGAGUUCCCUCGACUAUCUUUCUUCUCCAUCAUCAGAUCGACUCCAGACCUUUAU
Molecule: unclassified non-coding RNA, 457 nt
Filed under: Melitaea cinxia (Glanville fritillary)
Lineage: Eukaryota; Metazoa; Arthropoda; Insecta; Lepidoptera; Nymphalidae
Description: misc RNA ENSMCXG00005003955.1
Source: RNAcentral